Molecule: long non-coding RNA, 354 nt
Filed under: Homo sapiens (human)
Lineage: Eukaryota; Metazoa; Chordata; Mammalia; Primates; Hominidae
Description: HSALNT0268020
Source: RNAcentral
AUUCUAUGUACCAGGCUCUAUUCUAGAUACUGAGGAUACAGCCCUGAAAAGACCAACAUGAUUUAAACCCACGUGGAGCUUCUUGGGACCUACAUUAACCACAUAGUGGGGCAGAAGAGACGCUGCACACGUCUAGAGCUUAUACCUUGAAAAACUUUGCAGCUUCCAUUUUCACUCUUUUGGAACUCUGCCCCAAGACCACCACACCAGAAGAAACUCUGAAAGAAAACCCACAGAAUGAGAGAGACUUAGCCACCUGGCUGUCCCGGCUGAGCCUUCAGCCACGUGCAGCUUCAUGAGCAAACCCAGUGAGGGAGCCAGCUUCCAUGUCAUGAGGGACUGAAACCUUCUGAC